AACGAACGCUGGCGGCAUGCCUAACACAUGCAAGUCGAACGAGACCUUCGGGUCUAGUGGCGCACGGGUGCGUAACGCGUGGGAACCUGCCCUUAGGUUCGGAAUAACUCCCCGAAAGGGGUGCUAAUACCGGAUAAUGUCUUAGGACCAAAGAUUUAUCGCCUUUGGAUGGGCCCGCGUUGGAUUGGCUGGUUGGUAGGGUAAAAGCCUACCAAGGCGACGAUCCAUAGCUGGUCUGAGAGGAUGAUCAGCCACACUGGGACUGAGACACGGCCCAGACUCCUACGGGAGGCAGCAGUGGGGAAUAUUGGACGAUGGGCGAAAGCCUGAUCCAGCAAUGCCGCGUGAGUGAUGAAGGCCUUAGGGUUGUAAAGCUCUUUUACCCGGGAUGAUAAUGACAGUACCGGGAGAAUAAGCUCCGGCUAACUCCGUG
This 433-nucleotide ribosomal RNA is filed under the name uncultured bacterium. RNAcentral's name for it is "partial 16S ribosomal RNA". It matches the Rfam family "Bacterial small subunit ribosomal RNA", at positions 29 to 507 of the family's 1533-position model. The record is from RNAcentral.